Non-coding RNA from Pelodiscus sinensis (Chinese soft-shelled turtle), 208 nucleotides. The record is from RefSeq and is a predicted model, not a curated record. Lineage: Eukaryota; Metazoa; Chordata; Testudines; Trionychidae.
GAUACCAGCGCCUCGGAAACUGAGACAACCUCCCACUUCAUCCACAGUCUACCCGGAGUCCUAGGCUUGCAGGAAGGGCUAGUUGCCCUCUGAAGUAGCUGAAAUGCCUCAUCCAUCCUAGCUCCCUCAUCACUGAUGAUUACACCCUCAUCCCUUUGGAUGGAGCAUUAUAACUUGAAGGAGGGAUUCGGCUUCCUUGAUCACGGGG